GAGCUGGGAAGUGGACUAUGAAGAAUCUCUCAUCUGCUGCUCGCUCAGCCUGUUUUCAGCAAUAUUAUCAGUCCUACACACCACAUCCAUUAUUUCAUGUGGCUUCUACCCUUUUACUCUGCUGCACAAAAAUAGGGAAAUCUCCUUUUUGUCCUUCAAACCUACCACAUGGUUUGGCUGCUUUUACCUGGUACACAUUUGAAUCAGGCCCAACUACAAUUGUGGGAGGUGAUAUCUGUUGAUCAUCCUGAGAAGUAAUCUCAUGAUGGAACCAUUUGAUCAUACUGUUCCCCAGGAGAUGUACAUCUGGACCAUUUCGGGUCUUCCAUGUAUUUGAGUGCUGAUGGAUUGUACUAAGUGAUUGGAUUUAAAGUGAGCAGAGAAAGGUAAUCAGCAUAACAAUUUCAUGUGAUGAUGGCCUUUUUAUCCUUAUAUGUGUGGAAGUAUAUGACAGUAAUGGGAUCUCUUUAUUAUUUAGUUCAUCUAAGUGUUCUCUUUCAGCUUCAGAGAAAAAAAAGACAAAGGUUUCAUCUGUGUAGAAGGUGCUCAGUGGAAUGUUUUACCAGCUUGAACUGCAACUAUUUCCAUAUAAGAGCAGUGGAUUGCUUCUAUAUGACAACGAGAGGGGAUAAAGAGCUGGGAAGCCACCCUCAGUCCUACAGCCAGGCAGUAAUGCAAUGCAGACAGACAUGAUAAUUCAGCAGACAGAGGACAUGACAAUCCAACUUGAAUUUGACGUGUGACUUUGGAGGCUGGAAGAGCUAAGCCACCCGUGGAACUCUUAUAUUGAAGAAAAUGAACCCUGCUUUUAGGAAAUGGUAAAGGACCCUCAAAAACUUUUCCUAGUACCAACAUGGCCCCACUGCCUCUGUAAUACAGUCCCGGGCUACCUGUCCAGCAAUAUUUACCAUUGUUUCCUUUCCCACUCCCCAUGCAGUAUGUAAGCUAAACUAUUUGAAACUCUCUGUACAAACUCAAGACAAUCUUACCUUAUGCAUCUCUUUCUCCUCAAACAUCUUACUCUCAUCUCUGCCUGUAUUCCUCACCCCAGGAAAUAGAAGCUCUGUUUAUCAACACUACUAACUGCCAAACAAAAGAUUUGAAACCACCCUUGAAUUCUUUUUUAUAUCUGCUUGUCAGGUCCACCUGAUUCCAACUCCUCACCCCUUCCAUUAGUACAAAGCUGCUGCAAGCCUCUGCCUCUCUUGUGUGGAUUAUUGCAAUAAACUUCUAAUCAGUCUUGUUGUUUCUUCCCUU
This 1257-nucleotide long non-coding RNA is filed under the name Sus scrofa (pig). RNAcentral describes it as "lncRNA (ENSSSCG00070030416.1)". Lineage: Eukaryota; Metazoa; Chordata; Mammalia; Artiodactyla; Suidae. The record is from RNAcentral.